UAGAGUUUGAUCCUGGCUCAGGAUGAACGCUGGCGACGUGGAUAAGGCAUGCAAGUCGAACGGUUGUAGCAAUACAACAGUGGCGAACGGGUUAGUAACACGUAGAUAUCAACCCUUUACUCGGGCAUAACCUGGAGAAAUCUAGGCUAAUUCCCGAUAGUCCGGAAACGGUAAAGAUUUUUCGGUAAAGGAUGAGUCUGCGUCCUAUCAGCUAGUUGGUGAGGUAAUGGCUCACCAAGGCAAUGACGGGUAGGCGGAGUGAGAGCUUGACCGCCAACAAUGGCACUGAGACACGGGCCAUACUCCUACGGGAGGCAGCAGUCGAGAAUAUUUGACAAUGGGCGAAAGCCUGAUCAAGCGACGUCGCGUGUGGGAUUAAGAUCUUCGGAUUGUAAACCACUUUUCUAGGGGAAGAACUUUGACUGUACCCUAGGAAUAAGGGGUGACUAAACUCGUGCCAGCAGCCGCGGUAAUUCA
Molecule: ribosomal RNA, 477 nt
Filed under: uncultured bacterium
Lineage: Bacteria
Description: bacterial SSU rRNA
Rfam family: Bacterial small subunit ribosomal RNA
Source: RNAcentral